GACCUUGCUCAGGUCACGUUCUGAGCCUGCUUCUCACUCCUGCCCCCUCCCACCCUCCUGGUUCUGCCAUGGACAAGCUGAAGUCUCUCUGAGACCAGGGGACCCGCAUGGCCCAGCCACCCCACCCCACCAUCUCCCAGGCAUGUGAGAAAAUAUCACAUUCUCUGUGUUUUGGAGAUUUCUUCUAAAUGUAUUUUCCAACUAUCAUUUCAUAGCAAAUCAGCGAGAAAAAAGGGGCUUCCUGGAGCUCCUGCAACCCCAGGCAUUAGUUCCGGUGCAGUUCUAGGAUCAGAUCAAUUCACUCGACAACAAGAGAAACAAAUGGAGAUUCCUACACAAAGACUUUCAAGCACAAAGAAAUCCUGCUGCCUGUAAAGCGGAGCUGCCUCAGCCCUUGAUGAACGACAGAAAAUACCACCUACUGCCAGACCUCAACGCCUCACAAAACUCUCACCCACCUACUGCUUUUAGCUCACAUUCCAGGAAUUCAGAUGAAGUGAAGUGCUCUCAUGGGGACCAGGCAUGGUUAUGCCAGUCCACUGCCCUGCAAGCCUCAAGGGAAGCCAACUGCCCUUCAGCAAGUCACACCUGCCUUGGUGGAGGCCUUGAUUGGAAGUGCCACACGCUACAUGUCCAGUCCUGAGCGGGAGAAUCGGUGUAGGGACGUUCUGGGGAUGCCAGCUGUGGCCAGAUCAGGUCCAACUACAGAAGAAUAAUGAAGACUCCACCUGAGGGCUGGAAAAACAAAACCUCAAGUGUGAGGCAGCCAACCUGUUACCUCGAGGGACUGUUCCGCAGCACAGCGGGGCCAUGGGAACAGCAGCAGACACCCCGACCUCCUCGCUACCUGUGUGUGUAUUAACACGCCGG
RNAcentral lists this long non-coding RNA (870 nucleotides) under Homo sapiens (human). RNAcentral's name for it is "novel transcript". The record is from RNAcentral. Lineage: Eukaryota; Metazoa; Chordata; Mammalia; Primates; Hominidae.